GUUGAACGCUGGCGGCGUGCCUAAUACAUGCAAGUCGAGCGAACAGACGAGGAGCUUGCUCCUCUGACGUUAGCGGCGGACGGGUGAGUAACACGUGGGUAACCUACCUAGAAGGCUGGGAUAACUUCGGGAAACCGGAGCUAAUACCGGAUAAUAUAUUGAACCGCAUGGUUCAAUAGUGAAAGACGGUUUUGCUGACACUUAUAGAUGGAUCCGCGCCGCAUUAGCUAGUUGGUAAGGUAACGGCUUACCAAGGCGACGACGCGUAGCCGACCUGAGAGGGUGAUCGGCCACACUGGAACUGAGACACGGUCCAGCCUCCUACGGGAGGCAGCAGUAGGGAAUCUUCCGCAAUGGGCGAAAGCCUGACGGAGCAACGCCGCGUGAGUGAUGAAGGUCUUCGGAUCGUAAAACUCUGUUAUUAGGGAAGAACAAAUGUGUAAGUAACUAUGCACGUCUUGACGGUACCUAAUCAGAAAGCCACGGCUAACUACGUG
RNAcentral lists this ribosomal RNA (497 nucleotides) under uncultured bacterium. RNAcentral's name for it is "partial 16S ribosomal RNA". It matches the Rfam family "Bacterial small subunit ribosomal RNA", at positions 28 to 507 of the family's 1533-position model. The record is from RNAcentral.